UUCGAGCGUCAUUACAACCCUCAAGCACUGCUUGGUAUUGGACCCUAAUCCUUCACGGGUUGGUCUCAAAAACAUUGGCGGUGCCAGCGUAAACUUGGAGCGUAGUAAUUUUAUUUCGUUUUUUCAAGAACUCUGAGCACUUGCGUUAUACAAUUUUACUGGUUGACCUCGGAUCAGGUAAGGAUACCCGCUGAACUUAA
RNAcentral lists this unclassified non-coding RNA (200 nucleotides) under soil metagenome. RNAcentral's name for it is "partial contains internal transcribed spacer 2 and large subunit ribosomal RNA". The record is from RNAcentral.